ACUCAAAUGAAUUGACGGGGGCCCGCACAAGCAGCGGAGCGUGUGGUUUAAUUCGAGGCUACACGAAGAACCUUACCUAGCGUUGACAUGGUGUUGAACAAAGGUGAAAGCCGGCGGUUCGCAAGACAGCAUCACAGGUGCUGCAUGGCUGUCGUCAGCUCGUGCCGUGAGGUGUUAGGUUAAGUCCUGUAACGAGCGCAACCCUCGGUCGUAGUUACAAGUGUCUACGACGACUGCCCAUGACAAGUGGGAGGAAGGUGGGGAUGACGUCAAGUCAGCAUGGCCUUUAUCGCUAGGGCUACACACACGCUACAAUGGUCGGUACAAUGGGUCGCCAAGCCGCAAGGCGGAGCUAAUCCAAGCAAAGCCGAUCCCAGUUCGGAUUGUGGGCUGCAACCCGCCCCCAUGAAGCUGGAGUUGCUAGUAACCGCGCGUCAGCCAUAGUGCGGUGAAUACGUUCCCGGGCCUUGUACACACCGCCCGU
This 484-nucleotide ribosomal RNA is filed under the name uncultured bacterium. Its description in RNAcentral is "partial 16S ribosomal RNA". It matches the Rfam family "Bacterial small subunit ribosomal RNA", at positions 899 to 1397 of the family's 1533-position model. The record is from RNAcentral.